This 440-nucleotide ribosomal RNA is filed under the name uncultured bacterium. RNAcentral describes it as "partial 16S ribosomal RNA". It matches the Rfam family "Bacterial small subunit ribosomal RNA", at positions 338 to 795 of the family's 1533-position model. The record is from RNAcentral.
CCUACGGAUGGCAGCAGUGGGGAAUAUUGCACAAUGGGGGAAACCCUGAUGCAGCGACGCCGCGUGAGUGAAGAAGUAAUUCGUUAUGUAAAGCUCUAUCAGCAGGGAAGAAAAUGACGGUACCUGAGUAAGAAGCACCUGCUAAAUACGUGCCAGCAGCCGCGGGAAUACUUAGGGGGCGAGCGUUAUCCGGAGUUACUGGGUGUAAAGGGAACGUAGACGGCAGUGCAAGUCUGGAGUGAAAGGCGGGGGCUCAACCCCCGGACUGCUCUGGAAACUGUACGGCUGGAGUGCAGGAGAGGUAGGUAGAAUUCCGAGUGUAGCGGUGAAAUGCGUAGAGAUUAGGAGGAAUACCAGUGGCGAAGGCGGCUCACUGGACUGUAACUGACGUUGAGGCUCGAAAGCGUGGGGAGCAAACAGGAUUAGAUACCCCGGUAGUC